Small nucleolar RNA from Mastomys coucha (southern multimammate mouse), 76 nucleotides. RefSeq annotates it as small nucleolar RNA R38. The transcript has a single exon. The record is from RefSeq and is a predicted model, not a curated record. NCBI's taxonomy places the organism in Eukaryota, Metazoa, Chordata, Mammalia, Rodentia, Muridae.
UCGAGCUGAGGAUGAUCUAAGUUAUCCCUGUCUGAAACGACGCUUUUGUGAAGAGUCGUGGUUUGCUGAGGCUCGA